GUACCAUCUACAUCCCAGAAGAUCGCAACCUUGGAUGACGACCUGCAUUUGACUCUGUGCAGUAGUCCUACAGCUAGGGCUAUAGAAUUAUCAAAGGAGGCUGCAGCCAAUGAGGAAAAUCAAGAUGAGGGGGGAAACCCUUUCCACCUGUCCCCAGACCUAGACUUCUUCUUGCUUCGAAACAAAGAGAAGGAAAAGCAGCGGGUGG
Long non-coding RNA from Gracilinanus agilis (Agile Gracile Mouse Opossum), 208 nucleotides. RefSeq lists it as uncharacterized. The transcript is spliced from 3 exons. The record is from RefSeq and is a predicted model, not a curated record. NCBI's taxonomy places the organism in Eukaryota, Metazoa, Chordata, Mammalia, Didelphimorphia, Didelphidae.